RNAcentral lists this ribosomal RNA (355 nucleotides) under uncultured bacterium. RNAcentral describes it as "bacterial SSU rRNA". It matches the Rfam family "Bacterial small subunit ribosomal RNA", at positions 107 to 486 of the family's 1533-position model. The record is from RNAcentral.
UGAGUAAUACUUGGAUAAUCUGCCACUAGGAUUGGGAUAACCUCAGGAAACUGAGACUAAUACCAAAUAUGACCACAGUCUUUACGGAGACAGGGGUAAAAUGUUUUUCGCCUAGUGAUGAGUCCAAGUCGCAUCAGGUUGUUGGUAAGGUAAUGGCUUACCAAGCCUAUGACGCGUAGCAGGCUUAGCGGAUGAUCUGCCACAUGGGGACUGAGAUACGGCCCUGACUCCUACGGGAGGCACAGUGAGGAAUAUUGACAAUGGACGAAAGUCUGAUCCAGCGAUGCCGCGUGAAGGAUGAAGGCCUUAGGGUUGUAAACUUCUGUAGCAGGAAGAUAUGACGGUACCUGCAGAG